RNAcentral lists this ribosomal RNA (538 nucleotides) under uncultured organism. RNAcentral describes it as "bacterial SSU rRNA". It matches the Rfam family "Bacterial small subunit ribosomal RNA", at positions 978 to 1510 of the family's 1533-position model. The record is from RNAcentral.
GAUUUGACAUGCACGGAUUAACCCUGUGAAGCAGGGCCACGCCCUUGGGUGGAACGUGCACAGGUGCUGCAUGGCUGUCGUCAGCUCGUGUCGUGAGAUGUCGGGUUAAGUCCCUUAACGAGCGAAACCCUUGUCGUUAGUUGCCAGCGGGUAAUGCCGGGGACUCUAACGAGACUGCCGGUGUUAAACCGGAGGAAGGUGGGGAUGACGUCAAGUCCUCAUGGCCUUUAUGUCCAGGGCUGCACACGUCCUACAAUGGUGCGUACAAAGGGAAGCGAACCCGCGAGGGUAAGCAAAUCCCAAAAAGCGCGCCUCAGUUCGGAUUGCAGGCUGCAACUCGCCUGCAUGAAGCCGGAAUCGCUAGUAAUCGCGGGUCAGCAUACCGCGGUGAAUAUGUUCCUGAGCCUUGUACACACCGCCCGUCAAGCCACGAAAGUGGGGGGCCGGCGAAGUCGCCGAGCUAACCCGUAAGGGAGGCAAGCGCCGAACCGGAACUCCGCGAUUGGGACUAAGUCGUAACAAGGUAACCAAGGGCGAA